GAAAGAUUGUCCGACACAGAAGCAGCGCUACUUUUGCUUGAUUGGGGCCUUAAAGCCGUGAAUGGUGCAGGGCGAGAACUGAGCCCUUGGAAUCUCCAAGUCACCACUGAGGCAUGUUGGCGAGCUGGUGUAUUGCUGUUACUGCCCACGCCGUAACUUCUUUACAUCUAGAAGAUUUCACAGUUCACUGCUGUCACGCCAGGCAAAACUACAGUGUGGGUUAGAGAAUACACAAAGAAGUAGGAAGAACACUCAAGCUCAGCAGAGGGACAUCAUUGUGCAUCAUUAAGCCUUGCAGAGCCACCACAGCUCUGAAAAAGAGUGCUGGAUUCCAUUCCUAGCUGUGCAUCAGCGCCAGAAUUACUUACUGACUAGCAGACAGACAAGCUGGGUGAGUUUCAGUUCCUUUCCCCUCCCAAUCCUGAAGAGGCCAGCCACUUCCAGUUCCCGUAGGCCAGCCGAGAUGCCAUGCUCGCGGCAUCGCUUUCAUUCAGGCCACCCAGGGAAGGAUGAAUAGCUGGGUUGGGACAGUCCCAGAGGAUACAGAGGAAAGAGCCCACUGGCUCACAGAAGGUGGAGGUGGAACUAGCAGCUGGGCUGGGAAACUGAGCGGGGCAGCAAGCAGAGAGCCACUGCUCAAGAGCAGGGAGGCAGGUGCUCCUGCUGCACCAGGCUGCACACCACAGGCUGCAAGGAGGAGCCUCAGCUCUUUGCCUCUUCACCACAGCGCACC
Long non-coding RNA from Mauremys reevesii (Reeves's turtle), 733 nucleotides. RefSeq lists it as uncharacterized. Lineage: Eukaryota; Metazoa; Chordata; Testudines; Geoemydidae. The record is from RefSeq and is a predicted model, not a curated record. The transcript is spliced from 5 exons.